Molecule: ribosomal RNA, 115 nt
Organism: Propithecus coquereli (Coquerel's sifaka)
Lineage: Eukaryota; Metazoa; Chordata; Mammalia; Primates; Indriidae
Source: Ensembl
CUCUAUGGCCAUAUCACCCUGAACACACCCAAUCUCUUCUGAUCUCAGAAGCUAAGCAGGGUCGGCCCUGGUUAGCACUUGGAUGGGAGUCCUCCCAACAUUUGAUCUUCAGAUU